Molecule: ribosomal RNA, 465 nt
Filed under: uncultured bacterium
Lineage: Bacteria
Description: partial 16S ribosomal RNA
Rfam family: Bacterial small subunit ribosomal RNA
Source: RNAcentral
CCUACGGGUGGCAGCAGUAGGGAAUCUUCCCCAAUGGGCGAAAGCCUGAUGGAGCAACGCCGCGUGGGUGAAGAAGGUCUUCGGAUCGUAAAACCCUGUUGUUAGAGAAGAAAGUGCGUGAGAGUAACUGUUCACGUUUCGACUGUAUCUAACCAGAAAGCCACGGCUAACUACGUGCCAGCAGCCUCGGUAAUACGUAGGUGGCAAGCGUUAUCCGGAUUUAUUGAGCGUAAAGGGAACGCAGGCGGUCUUUUAAGUCUGAUGUGAAAGCCUUCGGCCUAACCGGAGUAGUGCAUUGGAAACUGGGAGACGUGAGUGCAGAAGAGGAGAGUGGAACUCCAUGUGUAGCGGUGAAAUGCGUAGAUAUAUGGAAGAACACCAGUGGCGAAAGCGGCUCUCUGGUCUGUAACUGACGCUGAGGUUCGAAAGCGUGGGUAGCAAACAGGAUUAGAUACCCCUGUAGUC